This is an RNA transcript of Maylandia zebra (zebra mbuna), 4680 nucleotides long. It is a transcript of the gene named rap1 GTPase-GDP dissociation stimulator 1-B, with no coding region annotated. NCBI's taxonomy places the organism in Eukaryota, Metazoa, Chordata, Actinopteri, Cichliformes, Cichlidae. The record is from RefSeq and is a predicted model, not a curated record.
CAGCGUGAAGCGAGGCAAACGAAAAGGACAGUUAGGUAAUAGGAUUAGUGGAGGAAGAGCAAGGACAGGGAAGCAGGCAGAGUGAGAGGCGGGACACACCUGACUGAAUCAGGGAGGGCGGCCUCUCUGCACACAGACGCGCACUCAGUGCUAGCAAGCAGGCGAAGGCAGUUAGCCAGCAGCCAUGACAGACACUGACUCUCUGUGUGAGGCGUUAAAAGCUAUUAGUGUGAGUACAGAGCUGAUUGAAGAAGAGCUCAAGCCUCAUUUGGAUACAGUGCUGGCUGCGCUGCUAGAAAAGAAGAAAGAUGCUGCUAUCGACGUUGCCAAAAGUGGUAUUCUACCCAUACUGGCUCAGGCCUUACAGAGAAAAAGCAGUCUGAGCUGCCAGGUGGCUUUGGUGGUGGCAGAGAUGGCCCGAGAAGCUGCAGUGAGGGAGCCAUGCAUCGAGGCAGGCCUGGUGAAGGUGUUGGUUCCCCAUCUGAACAGCGAUGACCAAGAAAUGCUGCUGAACUCUGGCAGGGCCAUCGGGCGCAUCUGCUUUGACAACUCAUACCAGCAGGACCAGUUGGUCCAGAGUGGUGUAAUCCCCAGACUCGUUUCCAUAAUGAGGGCGUAUCCUGACAACGAUCCACUGGUCAACGUCUGUCUGCUGGCCUUGUGUAACCUGGCAGACAUGGACUCUGCAAGGGAGGCGCUGGCACAGCUGGAUGUUGCAGAUGUACUGAUAUUUCAGCUGAAACAGGCCCCUGAUGCUGAACGCCGACAUGUCAUUUUGGAAAUACUGGGCUCUCUGGGAGAGAGCGAUACUCUGAAACUACAGUUUGCAGAGUCAGGAGUCCCAGAAGCUUUAUCCGAGAUGAUUCGGAGUCUGCAGGGAGGGUCUGACCCACAUGACCUCUGCAGCAUCAAGAUUGCCUCCAACCUAAUGGUGUCCCUGCUUUUAGGGGAUGAGUCCAUGCAGAAGUGUUUUGGUGAAGGAUCAGGUCUGGUGUACCAGGAUGUUCUGUCAUGGCUCCAGAGCUCCAACACCCAACUGCAGCUAUCGGGAGCGCUGGCCAUCGCCAACUUCGCCAGGAAUGACAGUAACUGUGUGAAGAUGCUGGACCUCGGAGUGGUUCCUCACAUCCUGACAUUGUUGGAGCAGCACGUAGAUGAAGGAGACGUAUCUGUUCAACAUGCUGGACUAAGCGCACUCAGAAACCUUGCCAUUCCGGCCACCAACAAAGUGCGAAUGCUGGAGGACGGGGUGACUGACAGAAUAAAGACGCUGCUGCGCUCGGACAUGCCCCCAGUUCAGUUCAAACUGCUGGGCACUCUGCGUAUGAUGGUGGACGGACACGAGGAAGCUGCGUUAGUGCUGGGGAGAGAUGCUGACCUACUCGAUCGGAUCAUGGAGUGGUGCGAAGCCAAGGAUCAUGCAGGAGUCAGAGGAGAAGCCAGUCGCCUGCUGGCUGCUCUCAUCAGACAUAGUCAGAACUCUGAAGUUGUCCGUGAGGUAGCCAGAGCCAAUGGAAUUCGGCAUCUUAUUUCUAUGGCAUCAAGUGAACAUGUCAUCAUGCAGAAUGAAGCCCUGGUUGCCCUGGCAAUUGCAAGUGCCAUUGACAUUGAGUCUAUGAAGGAUCCAUUUGGGGAGGCAGACCUGUUACCCAUGCUGAAGAAGAUGUUGGAGGAUCCUGUGGGAGCGGUCGAGGUCAAGUUCAGUGCUUUAGGUCUCAUUUGCAGCCUGGCUAACUCCAGUGUCAUGAAGGAGGCGUUGAACUCUGUGAAUAUGAAGGAAAGCAUCAGUAAACUCACAGAUCAUAGCAGCAGUAAACUUGCCUCACAGGCCAGCUCCAUACUGACCCUCCUGGGUGACACCAGCUAAACCAGCAUCCUGCAGCAACAGGGACCCAUCAGCUGUAUGGAUUUAUCGAGCUUAUUCAGUGGCAUACUUAAACGACAGAUAUUUUACUGCACAAAUAUUGCAAAGUAUUGAACUGGCUUCUUGUCACCUGUUCUGUAAAAAUGAAGGGCCCUUUUUAGUCCCGGUGUGUGCAUGUGUGGCAGGCAACAGAUUAUAGGAGUAUUUGAGUUACGUGUUUGAUUUGCUCAACAUUAUCUUUACACUGCACAAUUCAGACAUCAUCUAAGCUCAUUUAUUUAGGUUUUCCUGUGAGUAGUAAUGAGACAUUUAUGAAUCAGAUGGUCUGCAAUGAGUAUGUAUGUGGGGCUCAAAGGUAACGACUGAAUGAAUAGCCACAGAAAAAGUAUCCAGUCUCAGGCAGUCAUGUACCAUGACUAGCAACAUCGUAGACAUUUCACAAAGAUAGCAAAAAGAAAGGGUAAGAGGGCAGGUGAAGUUAACUGGAGAACACAUGUUAGGUGCACCGAGUUCUACAGUAUUCUGGACCAAAGGGGAUGGAUGGAGAAAUUUACUAAGAGCCACCUGAUGGAGGCGCAUGUGCACAGGUGUGGAGGGCACACAAAAGUUACGAAUAAAACCUCAGUGCUAAUAUCUGUAACUCCAGUACCCGGUCAUUGGCAAAGAUUUUAUUAUAAUAUAUGUUCAUGUUAUAUAAAGUGUUAUUGAAUAUCACUGAAUGCGAGCACCACAGUGGUGCAGUGGAAGCUCUUUCUGCGUUGCGAUUCCAAGCUUGUAAUCUAAUCCAAGUGCUGCACAGGAAGUAGGAUGUCAGUAAACGGUACCAAUAAUUUAAGAACAAUUGAAAUACUCGGGGGGGCACUCUGGACAGGACCCCAGCCUGACGCAGAGAUAAGUAAUAAUGUAGAAAUGAUCAUAUUAAAUGCACUGGGGAAAAUGGGACAAACUGGAACUAGUCUGAAGCCGAGAAAGCUGAUGAGAAGAGGAAUGUGUUUGGGUGAACACAAACCAAGCAUUUAUAAUUCUCAAAAUUAAUGUUCUAAUUACAAGAAAAAGAUGAAGAGCUGCCAACAGUGCUGGUUAGGGCGGGAACAUGCUCAGACUGAGGAAAUGCACCAGUGAGUAUUUGUGCUAUUGAGGCCUUGACAGCCUCCUGAUAUUUGUUAAAAUUUCAUAAGACACUGCAAGCUCUCCUGCACUGAGUGCCCUUCAUUUAAGGCGGUAUGACCUCAAAGGACAGCAGUGCAGACAGCGUUAAACCGAUGUAGAGAUAGAGCCUCACACUUCAGCACAUAUUCUGCAAAUGGGCCAAGCCAGCUGAUCACAAACGAGAGAGUGCAGCAUGGUCACGACUCUUACUUCAGCAACCUUGAUUUUAAAAGGCUGGCACGUGGUGAGAGAAAGUAGCAUCCUCAGCGUUGCAUGUACACACAGAUUUGACAAGUAAAAGAACCAAAUGAAGCGUCUCAGCUCGUAUGACCGACGCACGUGCUGGUGAGCCGAUACUAACGGGGAACAAUCAUAAAAUCACCAAGAAUGAAAAUAUUAGUCAGGUAAACGUUUCAGUGAGAAAGCCAAGAAAACCUUUGCUGGGCUCUAGCAGCUUGUGAACAGGGAAUGGUAAUUCCUCAACAGGUUGACCAGCCAGCUUUGCAAAGUAUGGAGAGAGAACCCUGCUGUUAGAUAACUGCCACUUCUAAUGUGGCCAUCGGUCAUGUGCGUAGUUGUCUGUCUCUGUGUGACUGGUGACCUGUUCAGGGUGUACCCCGCUUCUCAACAUAUGUGGGAUAAGCUCACACCCACCACGGCCCUAAAUCGGAUAAGCAUUAGAAAAUGGAUGGAUCGGAUGUUAUUGAAUAUGCAGCCAGAAUAGUUCACCAAACAAACGGACCUUUUUCUCAAUAUCCCGAAGGUGAAGAAGUGACGUGUUUGCAUCACUGAUUAAAAGAAACUUUGACGAUAUCAAGGAACUUGUUUUGUCAUGCCGGUGAUAUGAAGUGUGAUGAUUCUGAAGCAAUAUUGUUUGACCUAAAGUAGUUUUAUUUUAAUUACUCCAGUAACAAAACGACCUACUGGAUAAGAUUGUGAUGUACAAGUGAAUGUGCAAUGCUCUGGUUUGUCUGUAUUGUGGCAGCUGAGGUGAUGUUUCUAUUUAUUUUCUGAUAGGUUGAACCUGUUGAAGAUGACACAGUCUACGUUUUAUAAUAAGCCUGUCAGCUACUAUCAAACCAGGCUGUCUGUAAAUCACCAGUGAUAUUCUGAUGAGUGGACUCAAACAUUAAAACUUGCUUUAUGGCAUAUACUCUUCCAAUAAGAACUGCAACAGAUGUGAAGGAUGAACAUACAAAUAACAGCAACAAAGGAAGAGCCUGAGAACAGCCUCUGGCUAUGAGAUUACUCAACAGACUAAUGGGGCUCGAGCAUAACAGCAAUAUCCAUACCUACAAUCCAUUUUAAAGGAAGCACAAUGUGAAGAAGAUAUUCAAUACACUGCACUUUUUAACAUUUGUAUAUAAACUAAACAUUCUUAUGUAGUAGCAACACUUUUUCAGUGUGCAUCUGUAGCUGGGUCAUUUUGGGGAGUGGCUAGCAUGUGUGUUCUGUACAACAUAAAGUGAAUAAUGUGCUGAUGGGCGUGAAGCACACUUUUGCUGUGAUGUUUAAUGUAAUAUUUGUGUGAAAGUAUGUUCUGGAUGUAACUACAAAUCACUCAACAUGCGUGAACAGAUCUGUAUUUAUAGGGAGGGCAUUUUUUUGGCCUUUUAGAAGCUUUGUUCUAGAGUGAAAACAAUAAAGUUAUACAGUGUCUUCCUCUA